GUUGGGAUUUUCCAUUACAGGGAUCCGGUAGGUCAUGCCCAGCAUCUGCCCUCCUUCUCUUCCUGGGUUACAGCAGGAAGGGUGAGUGGAAGGGGGCAACUCCCUUCUCUGCACCGGCCCCUCCACCGACCUUGACUUUGGACCUGGGGAGAUCAGGUAGUGGGAGGAAACAACAAGGAGAAAACAGAUCCAAGUUCAAGCCUCGGUGUGUAGAGAGGAGAGUGAGAGAAGUAAUUGAAGAUGCAGCAAGAAGGCUCAUGGUUAGACAACAGGAGGGACUGCCUGAAGAAGUCGAUGAAAGAGAGACCCACAGGUUGGGGGCAGCCUUGCCCUGGGUGGACAAGAGAUGACUUGGGAUUUAGGAAGCAGCCACUCAUCGGUUCCUGGGUCAGAGUGCCCCGGUUAUCUUCUGCAGGACACAAGACCUCCGACUCCAGGACAUCAACCAGAAUAGACGCCACCUGGUCUUUUGAUCUGGGGUGCCUGGUUGGGCUCCUGCUUCCUUUGAACACAGCCAGUGGUGCCAGCAUGGACCAAUGCCCUUGGGGUAAGAAGAGGGAAGCAGAGACCAAGAAAGACUUGAAGGGCACCCAGGUCCCUGGAUUGGCACAACUGUCUUGGUUCAUCUCUGCACGAGUUGGGCGUCUGCGUAAAGAUAGGUUUUAGGCAGCAUCUCUGUCUUUUCUCUUUGAGUUGAGCCUCUCAGCAAGUGGGCAGAGAGAAUGUUCCCUUCUGGGAGGAGGGGAAAACAUGGCUCAUCGGGGCAGUAUGGGUCAAGGCUUUCAUAAACACACACAAAUCACAGGACAUUCUUGUGUGUGAUUCUUAGCCCCCACCAAACUGGGAUUUAUACACACUUAAGAGAAACGGAGCUGAGGGCUAAGUGUGCUGGUGGCUAAGUGUGCUAAGUGUCUGGGGGGAGGAGGGUGUGUGCUCUUUGCUUGGGUGUGGUUGUCACCCUGUCCCCUAGCUGCUGUCUGGGUCCAGAGUAGAAUACAUGUUUCACAUACACGCUGCUCCGUUUGUCUUUUUAAUAAUUUAUCUAUUUUUAAUUGAAGGAUAGUUGCUUUACAAGGUGGUGUUGGUUUCUGCCAUACAUCAACAUGAAUCAGCCAUAGACAUACAUACAUCCCCUCUCUCUUGAACCUCCCUCCCUCACGUUUGCCUUUAAGAAGCCAUGUAACAAGGACUUCCCUGACUUCCCUGGCAGUCCAAUCAUUGGGACUUUGUGCUUCCACUGCAGGGGGCUCAGGCUCAAUCCCCGGUUGGAGAACUAAGAUUCCACUUGCCACGUGGUGUGGCCAAAUGAAUAAAUAAAAGAAGCCAUGUAACAAGAGUUACGGACUCCUCACACCAGACAAUCCAGGGUUCAAACCUGAGUUUGGACAGUAACUAAUCCAUUAACCCUGGACAUGUUCCUAAACUCCUAUAGGCCUUGGUCUCCUCAUGAGGGGAUAAUAACAGCACUAAGCUCACAGGGUCCUGGGACGAUUAGGUGAGAUCACGUUACAUACCUGAUGGAGGUCAGAAUACAUCAGCAGCCCCGUCCGUGAAUGUGCCUCUCCGAGAACCCUGUCUCCACAGUUGUGACUGUAAAGUGUGACAUCUGAGCAAGGUUAUACACACACUCUUUCAGGACACAGCAUGAGUCUUAAUUAUUUCAAGGACUUGGGACACUUCGUGCCGCCUCAGUGCCCUGUGCAUAUUUCAUCUUAGGGGAAAUGAAUAAAAUAAGCCUGGGAAACACGAGCCUGGUACCUGAAGUAUGCCCACCCCUGGUGGUACAAGGAGAGCUGGCGGGCUGGGGAUGGCAUAGUGAGGACAGCCCCCCAGGAUCACUGAUCACCGUGUCCCGGCUCACUCAUGUCUCUGCAACCUCAGUAAGUGAAAGUCACUCAGUUGUGUCUGACUCUUUGCGACCCCAUGGACUGUAGUCCACCAGGCUCCUUUGUCCACGGAAUUCUCCAGGCCAGAACACUGGAGCGGGUUGCCAUUCCCUUCUCCAGGGGAUCUUCCCAACCCAGGGAUUGAAUCCAGGUGUCCCGCAUUGUAGGCGGAUUCUUUACUGUCUGAGCCACCAGGGAAGCCCCUGGCUCCCUCCCUUAAGACUCCUGAGACUUCUAGAGAGGCCGCAUUCCCCCUUGCUCU
This is a long non-coding RNA of Bos taurus (domestic cattle), 2148 nucleotides long. The record is from Ensembl. NCBI's taxonomy places the organism in Eukaryota, Metazoa, Chordata, Mammalia, Artiodactyla, Bovidae.